RNAcentral lists this ribosomal RNA (576 nucleotides) under uncultured eukaryote. Its description in RNAcentral is "SSU rRNA". It matches the Rfam family "Eukaryotic small subunit ribosomal RNA", at positions 174 to 758 of the family's 1831-position model. The record is from RNAcentral.
UAAAAACCCCGACUUCGGAAGGGGUGUAUUUAUUAGAUACAAAACCAAUGCCCUUCGGGGCUCUUUGGUGAUUCAUGAUAACUAUACGAAUCGCACGGCCUUGCGCCGGCGAUGGUUCAUUCAAAUUUCUUCCCUAUCAACUUUCGAUGUUUGGGUAUUGGCCAAACAUGGUUGCAACGGGUAACGGAGGGUUAGGGCUCGACCCCGGAGAAGGAGCCUGAGAAACGGCUACUACAUCCAAGGAAGGCAGCAGGCGCGCAAAUUACCCAAUCCCGACUCGGGGAGGUAGUGACAAUAAAUACUGAUACAGGGCCCUUUCGGGCCUUGUAAUUGGAAUGAGUACAAUUUAAAUCCCUUAACGAGGAACAAUUGGAGGGCAAGUCUGGUGCCAGCAGCCGCGGUAAUUCCAGCUCCAAUAGCGUAUAUUAAAGUUGUUGUGGUUAAAAAGCCCGUAGUUGAACCUUGGGCCUGGCUGGCCGGUCCGCCUCACCGCGUGCACUGGUCCGGCCGGGCCUUUCCCUCUGUGGAACCCCAUACCCUUCACUGGGCGUGGCGGGGAAACAGGACAUUUACUUU